AGAACGAACGCUGGCGGCAUGCCUAAUACAUGCAAGUCGAACGAACUCUUCGGAGUUAGUGGCGCACGGGUGCGUAACGCGUGGGAAUCUGCCCCUUGGUUCGGAAUAACAGUUGGAAACGACUGCUAAUACCGGAUGAUGACGAAAGUCCAAAGAUUUAUCGCCAAGGGAUGAGCCCGCGUAGGAUUAGCUAGUUGGUGAGGUAAAGGCUCACCAAGGCAACGAUCCUUAGCUGGUCUGAGAGGAUGAUCAGCCACACUGGGGACUGAGACACGGCCCAGACUCCUACGGGAGCAGCAGUAGGGAAUAUUGGACAA
Molecule: ribosomal RNA, 317 nt
Filed under: uncultured soil bacterium
Lineage: Bacteria
Description: bacterial SSU rRNA
Rfam family: Bacterial small subunit ribosomal RNA
Source: RNAcentral